GGAUUCGUAGCUCAAUGGUAGAGCAGCCGCCUUUUAAGCGGCAGUGUGGAGGUUCGAGCCCUCCCGGAUCCACCG
This 75-nucleotide transfer RNA is filed under the name Chondromyces crocatus. Its description in RNAcentral is "tRNA-Lys". It matches the Rfam family "tRNA". From Rfam's summary of the family: Transfer RNA (tRNA) molecules are approximately 80 nucleotides in length. Their secondary structure includes four short double-helical elements and three loops (D, anti-codon, and T loops). Further hydrogen bonds mediate the characteristic L-shaped molecular structure. tRNAs have two regions of fundamental functional importance: the anti-codon, which is responsible for specific mRNA codon recognition, and the 3' end, to which the tRNAs corresponding amino acid is attached (by aminoacyl-tRNA synthetases). tRNAs cope with the degeneracy of the genetic code in two manners: having more than one tRNA (with a specific anti-codon) for a particular amino acid; and 'wobble' base-pairing, i.e. permitting non-standard base-pairing at the 3rd anti-codon position. The record is from RNAcentral. Lineage: Bacteria; Pseudomonadati; Myxococcota; Polyangiales; Polyangiaceae.